This 480-nucleotide ribosomal RNA is filed under the name uncultured bacterium. Its description in RNAcentral is "bacterial SSU rRNA". It matches the Rfam family "Bacterial small subunit ribosomal RNA", at positions 8 to 485 of the family's 1533-position model. The record is from RNAcentral.
AGAGUUUGAUUCUGGCUCAGAUUGAACGUUGGCGGCAGGCCUCAUACAUGCAAGUCGAACGAGAAAGGCCCUUCGGGGCCGAGUAAAGUGGCGGACGGGUGAGUAAGGCGUAGGAAUCUACCCGGUAGUGGGGGACAACUCGAGGAAACUCGAGCUAAUACCGCAUACGAUCUUCGGAUGAAAGCGGGGGACUCUUCGGAGCCUCGCGCUAUCGGAGGAGCCUACGUUGGAUUAGCUAGUUGGUGGGGUAAUGGCCUACCAAGGCGACGAUCCAUAGCUGGUCUGAGAGGACGAUCAGCCACACUGGGACUGAGACACGGCCCAGACUUCUACGGGAGGCAGCAGUAGGGAAUCUUGCACAAUGGGCGAAAGCCUGAUGCAGCCAUGCUGCGUGUGUGAAGAAGGCCUUAGGGUUGUAAAGCACUUUCAGUGGUGAAGAAAUCCCGCGCACUAAUACUGCGCGGUCUGACGUACCACAGA